AUGGGUCCGUACCACAGGGUCCAUCCCUCAGGAGCAAACUGUUCCAACCUGGCUUCCCCACGGGCAGCAGCUCCUGCCAGGUCACCUGCUCCUGUGUGGGCUCCUCUCCACGGGCUACAGGUCCGGCCCGGAAUCUGCUCCGGCAGGGGUCUUCCACAGGCGGCAGCCUCCGUCAGUGCAGGGCCACCUGCUCCACCGUGGUCUCCUCCACGGGCUGCAGCGUGGAACCCUGCUCCACCGUGGUACUCCAUGGGCUGCAGGGGGACAUCCUGCUUCACCAUGGUCCUCGCCACAGGCCGCAGGGGACUUCUGCUCCGGCGCCUGGAGCACCUCUCCCCCUCCUUCUGCACUGACCUUGGCACCUGCAAGGCUGUUCCUCACUCCUCUCGCUCUCCCAGCUGCUGUGUGUUGCAGCGUUUUUUUUUCCCUGUCUUAAAUAUGCUCUCACAGAGGCGCAAAACAAUAUCGUUUAUUGGUUUGCCUCUGGUCAGCAGUGGGGCCCUUCCCAGACAUGGGGCAGCUUCUAGAUCCUUCUCACAGAAACCACCCCUAUGGCCCCCUGCUACCAAAACAUUGCCACGUAAACCCACUACAGUAGUGAGGGGCCCAAAACUAAACAUAGUACUUGAGGUGCAGCCUCACCAGAGCAGAAUACAAGGGGACAAUCAGCUCUCUGGUCCUGCUGGGUACACAAUUCCUGAUACAAGCCAGGAUGCCGUUGGCCUUCUUGGCCACCUGGGCACACUGCCAGCUCAUGUGCAGGUGAGCAUCAACCAGUACCCCCAGGUUCUUUUCCUCUGCACAGCUUUCCAGACACUUUCCCCCAAGCCUGUAGGACUGCAUGGGGUUGUUGUGACCAAAGUGCAGGACCCGGCACUUAGCCAUGUUGAACCUCAUUCCAUUGGCCUCUGUCCAUUGACCCAUCCUGUCCAGGUCCCUCUGCAGGGCCUUCCUACCCUCCGGCAGAUUGAUACUUCUGCCCAACCUGGUGUUUGCAAACAGUGA
This 1005-nucleotide long non-coding RNA is filed under the name Anas platyrhynchos platyrhynchos (common mallard). RNAcentral's name for it is "lncRNA (ENSAPLG00000025625.1)". The record is from RNAcentral. Lineage: Eukaryota; Metazoa; Chordata; Aves; Anseriformes; Anatidae.